GACGAACGCUGGCGGCGUGCCUAAUACAUGCAAGUGGGACGCAAGGGAACACACUGUGCUUGCACACCGUGUUUUCUUGAGUCGCGAACGGGUGAGUAACGCGUAGGUAACCUGCCUAUUAGCGGGGGAUAACUAUUGGAAACGAUAGCUAAUACCGCAUAAUAUUAAUUAUUGCAUGAUAAUUGAUUGAAAGAUGCAAGCGCAUCACUAGUAGAUGGACCUGCGUUGUAUUAGCUAGUUGGUAAGGUAAGAGCUUACCAAGGCGACGAUACAUAGCCGACCUGAGAGGGUGAUCGGCCACACUGGGACUGAGACACGGCCCAGACUCCUACGGGAGGCAGCAGUAGGGAAUCUUCGGCAAUGGACGAAAGUCUGACCGAGCAACGCCGCGUGAGUGAAGAAGGUUUUCGGAUCGUAAAGCUCUGUUGUAAGUCAAGAACGUGUGUGAGAGUGGAAAGUUCACACAGUGGCGGAGCUACCAGAAAG
RNAcentral lists this ribosomal RNA (486 nucleotides) under Streptococcus mutans. Its description in RNAcentral is "bacterial SSU rRNA". It matches the Rfam family "Bacterial small subunit ribosomal RNA", at positions 28 to 490 of the family's 1533-position model. The record is from RNAcentral. Lineage: Bacteria; Bacillati; Bacillota; Bacilli; Lactobacillales; Streptococcaceae.